This 265-nucleotide ribosomal RNA is filed under the name uncultured bacterium. Its description in RNAcentral is "partial 16S ribosomal RNA". It matches the Rfam family "Bacterial small subunit ribosomal RNA", at positions 793 to 1055 of the family's 1533-position model. The record is from RNAcentral.
GUCCACGCCGUAAACGAUGAGUGCUAGGUGCUGCGGGUAUUGACCCCUGCGGUGCCGUAGCUAACGCGUUAAGCACUCCGCCUGUGGAGUACGGCCGCAAGGCUAAAACUCAAAGGAAUUGACGGGGGCCCGCACAAGCGGUGGAGCAUGUGGUUCAAUUCGACGCAACGCGCAGAACCUUACCUGGGUUAAAUCCACUCGAACCUAGCAGAGAUGUUGGGGUGCCCUUCGGGGAACGAGUGAGAAGGUGCUGCAUGGCUGUCGU